GAUGAACGCUAGCUACAGGCUUAACACAUGCAAGUCGAGGGGUGACGAGCGGAAAGCUUGCUUUCCUUGUCGACGACCGGCGCACGGGUGAGUAACGCGUAUCCACCCUUCCCCCAACUCAGGAAUAACCUUGCGAAAGUAAGACUAAUACCUUAUAAUUUCCUCAGAUGUCAUCUGACGAGGAAUAAAGAUAUAUCGGCUGUGGAUGGGGCUGCGUCUGCUUAGCUUGUUGGCAGGGGAACGGCCCACUAAGGCAACGAUCAUAAGGGGUUGUGAUAGUAAGGUCCCCCACAUUGGAACUGAGACACAGUCCAAACUCCUACUGGAGACAGCAGUUGGGAAUAUUGGGCAAUGGGCGGAAGCCUGAACCAGCCAAGUAGCGUGCAGGAUGACGGCCCUAUUGGUUGUAAACUGCUUUUAUACAGGAAUAAAGUUAGCCACGUGUGGUUAUUUGUAGGUACUGUAUGAAUAAGGACCGGCUAAGUCCGUGCCAGCAGCCGCAGUAA
Molecule: ribosomal RNA, 506 nt
Filed under: uncultured bacterium
Lineage: Bacteria
Description: partial 16S ribosomal RNA
Rfam family: Bacterial small subunit ribosomal RNA
Source: RNAcentral